Molecule: long non-coding RNA, 426 nt
Organism: Symphalangus syndactylus (siamang)
Lineage: Eukaryota; Metazoa; Chordata; Mammalia; Primates; Hylobatidae
Source: RefSeq, a predicted model, not a curated record
CCAAUAGAAUCCAAUUUUGUGCAGGCACCAGGUAGGAAGCUUCACCACCAUAAGCUCAGAAUGAGUCAUGAUUGGUCUAAGCCAAAAGUGGAAAUUGACUUCCUCUUUGACUGAUACUGCUUUGGGGGUAGUUAUAUCAAUUUCUGAACAAUGAGAUGAAAGAGGAAAGUUGCUGGAGACUACCUUGCUAAAAGACAACAAAUGGUGAGGAGAAACCAGAAGAGAGGACAGAGAUGGAGUGACCAUAAAGGUGAAAGGGGGACCAAGAGUGAGCUGUGUCCUGGAAGCAAAGUCAGAAGGUGUUUCUCAAAGGAUGGGUCAUCCUGUGUAUGAGAUUCCUGGCAAUAUGGGAGUGCAGUUUGAAGUGUGGGCAUUGGAGUGAGUUCCUGAGGGGCUGCUUACCAGCUGUGUGUGUUCCAGGGGGAG